This 425-nucleotide ribosomal RNA is filed under the name uncultured bacterium. RNAcentral describes it as "bacterial SSU rRNA". It matches the Rfam family "Bacterial small subunit ribosomal RNA", at positions 354 to 796 of the family's 1533-position model. The record is from RNAcentral.
GUAGGGAAUUUUGCGCAAUGGGGGAAACCCUGACGCAGCAACGCCGCGUGAGUGAUGAAGGAUUUCGAUUCGUAAAGCUCUGUUGCAGGGGAAAAUUAUGAUUGUACUCUGCGAGAAAGGACCGGCCAACUUCGUGCCAGCAGCCGCGGUAAGACGAAGGGUCCUAGCGUUGUUCGGAAUUAUUGGGCGUAAAGAGUAUGUAGGCGGCUAGUUAAGUCGUAUGUGAAAUCCCGGAACUUAAUUCCGGAACUGCAUAUGAUACUGAUUAGCUUGAGUACGAGAGAGGAUCGUGGAAUUCCUGGUGUAGUGGUGAAAUACGUAGAUAUCAGGAGGAACAUCGGUGGCGAAGGCGGCGAUCUGGCUCGAUACUGACGCUGAGAUACGAAAGCGUGGGGAUCAAACAGGAUUAGAUACCCUGGUAGUCC